CCUACGGGUGGCAGCAGUGAGGAAUAUUGGUCAAUGGACGAGAGUCUGAACCAGCCAAGUAGCGUGAAGGAUGACUGCCCUAUGGGUUGUAAACUUCUUUUAUAAAGGAAUAAAACGAGGCACGUGUGCCUUUUUGCAUGUACUUUAUGAAUAAGGAUCGGCUAACUCCGUGCCAGCAGCCGCGGUAAUACGGAGGAUCCGAGCGUUAUCCGGAUUUAUUGGGUUUAAAGGGAGCGUAGAUGGGUUGUUAAGUCAGUUGUGAAAGUUUGCGGCUCAACCGUAAAAUUGCAAUUGAUACUGGCAGUCGUGAGUACAGUAGAGGUAGGCGGAAUUCGUGGUGUAGCGGUGAAAUGCGUAGAUAUCACGAAGAACCCCGAUUGCGAAGGCAGCUUACUAAACUGUGACUGACAUUGAUGCUCGAAAGUGUGGGUAUCAAACAGGAUUAGAUACCCUUGUAGUC
Molecule: ribosomal RNA, 460 nt
Filed under: uncultured bacterium
Lineage: Bacteria
Description: partial 16S ribosomal RNA
Rfam family: Bacterial small subunit ribosomal RNA
Source: RNAcentral